AGAUAGAUAGAUAGAUAGAUAUGUAUCUGAAAGCAGUAAAUGCGAUAGUAGGAAAACUAUGCUACUGUGCCCAUAAUCAUGAAUAUAAAUGCAUGCAUCAUAUAGUAAAGGUUUGCUACCAUGCUAACAAAUUCGAUCCAUGUUCGAAUAGUAAUGUUCAAUGACAUUUUAAACCUUUAACUUUUCAUUUACCCAAUCUGUGGCGAGGCCCUAGGGCUCGCCCAGGACUCACCUUUCAAUCCCAAAGUGGGGAGGGAGCUCCAAGUGCACCCAAGCCAGGGACCGUCUGCGGACCUCCAUGUGGUCCGGACCUCCAAGUGGUCCUAGUCGCGCGACACUCCGGAGUACUCG
Molecule: long non-coding RNA, 351 nt
Filed under: Ananas comosus (pineapple)
Lineage: Eukaryota; Viridiplantae; Streptophyta; Magnoliopsida; Poales; Bromeliaceae
Description: long non-coding RNA (ACOM_LNC035785)
Source: RNAcentral